RNAcentral lists this ribosomal RNA (293 nucleotides) under Taira sp. CL003. RNAcentral's name for it is "partial 12S ribosomal RNA". Lineage: Eukaryota; Metazoa; Arthropoda; Arachnida; Araneae; Amaurobiidae. The record is from RNAcentral.
AAACCUUUUUAUCAUGGCGGCAUUUCAUUUNUUCAAAGAAACCUGUUACUUAAUUGAUAAACCACAUUAAUUUUCACUUUAUUUUUCAAUUUAUAUACCGUCAUUAAAGAAUUAAUUUAAGUUUAAAUUCACUAUAAUACUUAAAAAAUUAGAUCAAGGUGUAAUUUAUAUUAAAGAAUUAAUGGGUUGCACUAAACCCAAUUUAAAUAACUUAAAUAUUAAUUUAGAAUUUGAUAACAAUUUAAUAAUAAUAAUUUUAAAUGANAUAAAACAAAAAUGUGCACACAUCGCCC